GGGUGGUGAACAAGUGAGGGUAGUCGGGAGGUCAUGGAAGCUCUGUGCCCUUUCUCCCCCAUACCCCGCUCUCCCCAUCUGUUCCACGUGGAUGUUCCUCUGUAUUCUUUAUCGUAUUUUGUAGGAACAAACGCGCCAAGGUAUGCCUGCGUCAUGGAACGUAGAUGACCCAACCUACUACCUAGAAGCCUGCUAUCUAGACCCAGCCUUCUACCUAGAAGAAAGUUUAACAGCAGUGAAAACGGAAGGUGGAGGGAAGAAGCCACCCUGUGACCCAUUGUUCCUCACACAGAGGACAGAAUAGAUGCUGCUGGUCCUAGUUCCUCUGGACUGUCUACCUUGCUUCUGAAGGAGAUCGCCUGUGAGCUCAACUGAGUGAGGAUGCCAACACUGUAACUGCCAUCAUAUCUAGACAAAUGGACUUCUGUAAACCAUAAACUGGAAAAGCAAUGCAUGAAUCAGUGCUGUGGAUGGAGCUGGAAACCCC
Molecule: non-coding RNA, 487 nt
Organism: Sus scrofa (pig)
Lineage: Eukaryota; Metazoa; Chordata; Mammalia; Artiodactyla; Suidae
Source: RefSeq, a predicted model, not a curated record